UUAAAAAGCUCGUAGUUGAACCUUGGCCCCGGCCGGCUGGUCCGCCUCACCGCGUGCACUGGCUCGGCCGGGGCUUUCCCUCUGUGGAACCCCAUGCCCUUCACUGGGCGUGGCGGGGAAACAGGACUUUUACUUUGAAAAAAUUAGAGUGCUUCAGGCAGGCCUAUGCUCGAAUACAUUAGCAUGGAAUAAUAAAAUAGGACGUGCGGUUCUAUUUUGUUGGUUUCUAGGACCGCCGUAAUGAUUAAUAGGGACAGUCGGGGG
This 264-nucleotide ribosomal RNA is filed under the name uncultured Ascomycota. RNAcentral describes it as "partial 18S ribosomal RNA". It matches the Rfam family "Eukaryotic small subunit ribosomal RNA", at positions 619 to 888 of the family's 1831-position model. Lineage: Eukaryota; Fungi; Ascomycota. The record is from RNAcentral.